Long non-coding RNA from Pygocentrus nattereri (red-bellied piranha), 517 nucleotides. RefSeq lists it as uncharacterized. The record is from RefSeq and is a predicted model, not a curated record. The transcript is spliced from 4 exons. Lineage: Eukaryota; Metazoa; Chordata; Actinopteri; Characiformes; Serrasalmidae.
AAGUGCAGCGCAGCGCGAGAGGCUGCAGAGGCUUUAAUGAAGACACUAAAACAUCAUCUCCAACACGCUCUGAGAGGAGAGAGCAGCUAAAGGCCUGCGGCUGCACCGUACCAGGAAGCGGAUUCAGCUAAGCAGGUUAAUACGGGUGUAGAAGUCCGUCUCGUACUGGAGAUACAGCAGCUGUCAGACAUCAGCAGAACCCGGAAAACCGAAAAGGGCCUGCAGACCUGGCUUUGUGGUCUCUGACACAUUAUUACCUGUGAACCAGGACACAGACUCUGCUAAACUUCUGCGCCUGGACCGGAUCUGAUAUACAGCUGCAGCAUGUAAAGGAGCCCCACAGAGUGAGGGAGGAGAGAGGGAGGGAGAGAUGUACAGAUGGAAAGAUGAAGAAGAGAAGAGGCAGCAAAUGAACAGCAGGAACUCAGCGGAAAUUGGAACCCCCCCAUUCUCUCUCUCCCUCUCCCUCCCUCUCUCUGACUCUCUCUCAUUCUCCAUCUCCCUCUUCCUUCCUCUC